Molecule: long non-coding RNA, 668 nt
Filed under: Olea europaea subsp. europaea
Lineage: Eukaryota; Viridiplantae; Streptophyta; Magnoliopsida; Lamiales; Oleaceae
Source: RNAcentral
CUCGAUAUGGUAUGAAAGUCCAAAAAGUUUAGGAGAGUAAUAUGAUUGGGAAAUUGGAUUUCAAGAUUAGCACAAGUCAUUAUUUGGAAAGUGCGUUAAAAUAAUGCUAUUUUAAGAAAUGAAAUUCCUCUCUCUAUUUCGUGUCAUCAUUAUGUACAAAUAGCAUUACUCGUUUAAAAAAAAUAUUAUACACUGCUUAAAUAUGAAAACAAAUUUAUCAAUGAUGAAAAUAGUGAAAUGCUACUAAGGAUAUAUAAUUAAUAUUAAGCUUUUUAAAUAUUGAUUUUUAAUUCGUCAUUGUUACCUUUCGUAACAAUUUACAUCCUUUUGCAAGCCGGGACACAAAAUAAAGGGCAAUAUUUUGCACGAAAGUUGAAUUUUCUACCAAAAGAGAUGAGAAAAAUGAGUGCACUUUGUUGAAAACAUUUCACAUGGAUAAAAGUGAAUAAGUGAAUACUUUUCUUAAAAAUAAUUUGUUGGCAGAAGAAAUUUUAUCAUUUUCUUCUUGUAAAGUAGGUUUGAAUAAUUUGAAUAUUGUCCAGUCGUGUAAUGUGGGUUUCACAUUAUGAUGAAGAUCUGGUAAAUUGAAGUAAUAGGGUCCACUCAUAAAACUUUUAAUAAUAAAAAAUUAUUUUUAAACAUGUUUGAAUAAUUAAAAAAUAAUAAUA